CAUGGCUCAGAUUGAACGCUGGCGGCAUGCUUUACACAUGCAAGUCGGACGGCAGCGGGGGUGCUUGCACCUGCCGGCGAGUGGCGAACGGGUGAGUAACAUAUUGGAAUGUACCGAGUAGUGGGGGAUAACCAAUCGAAAGAUUGGCUAAUACCGCAUACGUCCUAAGGGGGAAAGCAGGGGAUCUUCGGACCUUGCGCUAUUUGAGCAGCCAAUAUCUGAUUAGCUAGUUGGUGGGGUAAAGGCCCACCAAGGCGACGAUCAGUAGCGGGUCUGAGAGGAUGAUCCGCCACACUGGGACUGAGACACGGCCCAGACUCCUACGG
This 326-nucleotide ribosomal RNA is filed under the name uncultured bacterium. RNAcentral describes it as "bacterial SSU rRNA". It matches the Rfam family "Bacterial small subunit ribosomal RNA", at positions 18 to 344 of the family's 1533-position model. The record is from RNAcentral.